RNAcentral lists this ribosomal RNA (492 nucleotides) under uncultured bacterium. Its description in RNAcentral is "partial 16S ribosomal RNA". It matches the Rfam family "Bacterial small subunit ribosomal RNA", at positions 29 to 507 of the family's 1533-position model. The record is from RNAcentral.
AAUGAACGCUGGCGGCAUGCCUAACACAUGCAAGUCGAACGGAAAGACAGUAAGCGUUUGCUCUUAACGGUGGCGGCUGGCGGACGGGUGACGAAUAAAUCGGCUUCUUAUUUUUCGGGGAGGAUAACGUAGGGACACUUACGAUAAUACAGCAUACGUUGUACGGGUGAGAGCAGGGGAUCUUCGGGCCUUGCGCGAUUGAAUGCGCCGAUGCCGGAUUAGCUAGUUGGCAGGGUAAAGGCACACCAUGGCGACGCUCCGUAGCUGGUCUGAGAGGAUGAUCGGCGACACGGGAACUGAGACACGGUCCAGACGCCUACGGGAGGCAGCAGUGGGGAAUAUGAGGCAAUGGGCGCAAGCCUGACCCAGCCAUACCGCGUGUGUGAAGAAGGCCUUCGGUUUGUAAAGCCCUGUUGUUGGGGAAGAAAAGCAGUAGGAUAAUACCCCGCUGUUCUGACGGUACCCAAUGAAUAAGCACCGGCUAACUACGUG